This 1038-nucleotide ribosomal RNA is filed under the name Triticum aestivum (bread wheat). RNAcentral's name for it is "partial small subunit ribosomal RNA". Lineage: Eukaryota; Viridiplantae; Streptophyta; Magnoliopsida; Poales; Poaceae. The record is from RNAcentral.
AUGGGGAUACCGCUAGAAAAGGUUUGGGUCAGACUCUCAGGAGUUCCAGAGACUCUUCUUAAUGACUAUCUUAUUGUUGUGAGUCUUGGCUCUCUGUUAGGUAAAACAGAGAAGGUGGACAUGCCAUUCACAGGCCUGCAUGGAGAGGUGAGGCUACUUGUCGGUGUUGUGAAUGCGGAUUAUAUUCCAGACUUCGUACCAUGGACUUAUGAUGGGAUGUCUUAUGAUCUCGAUAUUGUGGUUGAGGAGGUUCAGCAGGCAAAUAAUAAUUAUGGGAAUACUGAUGUUGAUAUGACUGAUGGUGGAGAUGGUAGUCGUGAUGGUGGUGGCGACCCAGGGAUGGGAGGCAACCCCAGCGACCACAGUGGAAAGGACAAGCCGGCCAGAAAACCCACACAAUCGACUGAGCCGAAGACCGACAAGGGGUCGGCACCCCCAACCACUCCGGCAGCAUCUCUCCGUUUUGGUUCGUUUCAGGCGAUGUCCGCACCGAGUCGUCUUUGGGGUGACCGUGUGGAGAUAGAGGACUCUGAUGAUGAUCUUCCAACACAGGGGGUGGUGGUGGAGGAGCACCGACAGAUGACGAAUGAGGUUCCACCGCAGCUGACGUCUCCUCGCCGCCCAGUCACCCCAGUGGUGACAGAGGUGUCUAUGGCGGCGGUGACAGUGGAGGGACGGCCGUCGGCGAUCUUGCCUUCUCCUACAGUGGAGGGCUCUAGACCAUCUCGCUCUUUGUCACCACGUUCGACCAGCUCGACACAGGUGGUGUCCAGGUCGGGCAAUGAUGAUAGCACAUCGGCGGAGAUCUGUGCUUCGGAUGUCGCGAAUACUGAUACCGUGGUGGAGCAGUUCGGGAGGCCGGUGUCUCCCAUUGCUUCUGACUUAGUCGGGCAUACGGCUGGCGGCCACAGCCCGGCCGGAGUCGCUUUGGAGGACGUCAUCGCCUUUGGAGGUAUUCCGAAACCUAGUUCCGGUAACAGACGGUUCAGUCACCGGAUCCAGGGUCGGCCGGACGCGGAUGACAUACAGAUGGGGUGA